This 531-nucleotide long non-coding RNA is filed under the name Anser brachyrhynchus (Pink-footed goose). RNAcentral describes it as "lncRNA (ENSABRG00000006775.1)". The record is from RNAcentral. Lineage: Eukaryota; Metazoa; Chordata; Aves; Anseriformes; Anatidae.
ACAAUUACUAAAGACAAUGUUGCACUUCCAGCCAAUGCAGCUAUGUGGCGAAGAACUGCUAGUAGAAGACUACCUACUACAUGCAGAGAAUUUUGUUUCCUGGCUCAUAGUUUUGGAUGAAGCUAUGGUGUUUGGAAUGAGCUAGACAGGGGAGGGGGAGCAGACGAGAGAAUCAAUGCCCAGAGGAAUGCAGGACAGAACUGUGUGAUUUCCUUCUAAGCUCAGCUCCAUUUGGGAGCACAACAAUGAAUUCCAAGGCAGGGAAUUGUUCACAGUGAGUGAGAUAUUCAAAGAAAAUGAAACUAACAGGAUACAGAUGUCAAAGCAAGUCAAAGAAAAAAUUUGAAAUGAAUUAAACCAAGCUCCACAAUAUUACUUGAUUGCUAUUGGUACUGACAAUAUACUGUCUGCUUUUCACAGACAUGAAAAUAUAGCUUUUCUUCUGAUGACUUUACAGUCUGAAUUACCUUUAUGAGGCCCUAAAGUGGUGGUGAGAGGACUAUGAGUUCCAUACAACAAGUUGCUAAUGAG